Spinacia oleracea (spinach) is the source of this 222-nucleotide long non-coding RNA. RefSeq lists it as uncharacterized. The record is from RefSeq and is a predicted model, not a curated record. Lineage: Eukaryota; Viridiplantae; Streptophyta; Magnoliopsida; Caryophyllales; Amaranthaceae. The transcript has 2 exons.
GAAAUUGGACUCAGAGCUCAGGAUGAACGAACCAAGAGAAACAAAACCCUUAGCAAAUCGCGGAAGUGAGGUACUGCGGGGAACGAUGGACACGAGUAGUGGCGAGGAAUUUCACAAUAAUAAUGUUCACUUAGUUUAUGCUUAAUGUUUUAAUAGUUUAAUUAAAGACUUAUAGUAAGUUAUGUACUUUUAUUUUGGGUUAUAAAAAGGACUAUUAUAUUA